RNAcentral lists this unclassified non-coding RNA (3524 nucleotides) under Hevea brasiliensis (rubber tree). The record is from RNAcentral. Lineage: Eukaryota; Viridiplantae; Streptophyta; Magnoliopsida; Malpighiales; Euphorbiaceae.
ACACACACACACACACACACACUCACCAUCUUCCUUUCCCUCAAAAAGUUGAUGGCGAGCUUACUCAACUGAACCCACCAAAAAAUUGGGCUACUUGGACUUAUAUAUAUAUAUAUAAACCACAAAAAAUUUAAAAGAAACAAAAGUGAAAGAUAGGCAGACUUUCAUAUCUAGCAGUCCACCAUGACCACCAAACAGACCAUAGCAGAAGCCUCCCCCUCCAUCAACGAACUUCCUAUACGAAAUAUUUUGCUGAAAAAAUGUGGCAUUGCAUUUGGUCUUGUAUCAUUUGAACAAGAAAGUCAGUUCUCUCCAAUCUACAAUUUUCAUCUGUUUUUAUCAGCUUCCAUAAUGCAAUCUGCCAAUAUCUUCUUUGUGAUAGCUGAGCACAAUGUCGUUAUAGAGCACCCUCCUCCAUGUUCCUUACGCGGAGUUCCACGCUUCUUAGAUCGCGAAGAUGAUGUAAAAUCUCUUGCAGAAGCUCUAUCCCUUUAUCCCCUUUCUUCAAGGAGGUGAUGCAAUGCUUGAGAAACUCUCUAUCUGCCUCCAGUGCUUGUAGCCUUUCAUAGACAUGAUCUACUUCCUCCUCAAUUGCAAGCUUCUUGCUUUCAACUUCAAAUUUGUUGACUGAUUUCAGCAAGGCAACAGAAUCAACUCCUUCUGCAUACCCAUUUUGCAUCCCAUCUUCGGUUUCUGCAUCAAUGGCAUCAAAAAGUGGAAGAAGUCUUUUUGCCUUGGCACCGAAGUUUUUUCUUUCUUGAUGAUGCUUUCCAUUCAUUUCCUUGUAAUUACCAUUUGCAACUCCAUUUGCUUCACUGAUAUGAUCCAAAUUCUCAAUGUAGCCAUUUCCAUUUUCUUUGUAUAAAUGUUGUUGCUUCUCUUCAUCACUGAGCGUAAAAAGCUUCUCCUCCAAAACCUUCAGUUGACGCAGAAUGGAUACCCUCUCCACCUCAAAAUUAGCCAAUGACUCUUCCAAGUAUAGAACUGCAUCGACGGGGGUGUUCUGGUCGCCAGUUUCUUUAUGGUUAUCGAAACCAUCUUCUUCUUUCUCUUCAUGAUUCAAGUCAACAGAUAGUCCAUCACUAUCCUCAGCAUUGCUACAAGAUGCUGAGGAAGUUCCACUUGUGCCCCUUUCUUUCCUUCUUUUCAACAUCGUCAAUUUCUCUUUUGCCUCGUAAUCUUGCACCUUCUUUCGAUAUACUUCGAGCUCUUUUUCUAGCUCUGCUCUCUCUUUCUCCCUCUUUACCAUAAGUUCAUUCAAAAGCUGCAAAGCUUCCUGGUCAUAUUCCGAUUGCUCUUCCAUCAUUCUCUGAUACUGCAAAGCUUCCAUCUGCAUUGCAGCCUUUUCUUCUUGAAGCCUGUUUAUCAUUGCCAUUGUCUGGUUCGCAGCCACUGCAGAAGCACUUCUUUCUUCUUCUAAUUCUGCAUAUAAAGCAUUUAAAGCCUUCCUUUCAGCUUUCAAAGCUGAUUUCAACUUCUCAACAGUCAAAACUCCAUCACCUGCUUCAAUGUCACUGAUGACACUUCCAUCCAAAGACUCUUCUGUGCCAGAUUCUUUUCUUUCUAGAAGUAGAAGCUUCUUGUGUAAAUGAUGAAGGCUAUCUACAGAAGUUGGUGUAUCAGGAAUCUUGUCUUCCUCAAUAUCAUUGCUCUCAUGAUCAUCAUAGGCAUGAUAAUUAGCAUUGCCGGUUGAAGGAUCUUCUGUUAUGGACAAACAUGAUGCAGGAACUUCUUCACUUUGAAAAUCUUCAAUUGGUUCAUGAUCAGGAAUCUCUGUCCCUACUGAUAUAUCUGCUUCAAUCUCAUCAAUUUGCAUUUGAAGUACUUCUUCAGACACUUGAUUUUUAUCCGAUUCUAUUUCCUCUUCUGCUGUCUCUGAUCGUUCUUGAACAUUAUCGCCAUUGCUUGUAGGGGUCUGUGUUGAUGGAGCAAUGGCAAACUGUUCGAAGUCCUCCUUCAACAGUUCACAAUCAGCAUGCGCUCCUAAGGAAUUCUCGUUCUCAUUAAAUUCCCUCGACUCAAGCUCAUCAACCAUAUUUUCCUCCUCGCUCUCUUGGAUGGGAAGCAGUGGCACUUUCUCAUCUAAAUUGAUCCUGUCCUCAAAAACCAAUUCAUAUCGUGUCCCAACAUGCUUAUCAAACUCCAAAACAAAAUCUUCAUCACCGCAAUUUUCCUCCUCUCUCUUCUCAUUCCUGUUUGAAAUUUGCUUCUCCAUUCGACUGGAAUCCAUCAAAUCAAUUGGAAUCAAGUGGCAAUCAUCUUGAUCAAUGUAGAAUUCUAGAUGUUGAGGUUGAAUUUCACUGGAAACAUCUUUUUUGCAACCAGCUUUUUGAACCGUCACCGCCUGAUUACAAGAGGGAUCAUUAACUGACACGUUCAAUUCAUCCUUCUCGACUGAUUCUAGCCCUUUUUCCGUUAAUAUUUCCGUUUUACAACUUUCAUCAGGAACCAUUUCCUUGCAAUCGAAGCUAGAAACAAAGCAUGAAAAAUUUUCCUCUGUUUUCUCCUCACAGUUUCUGUCCUCCACUCCCCUGUUUUUAUCAAUCCCCUGUUCUUCCCCCCAGCGAUCACAGACAAAACCUGAUCUUUUUCUAUCAGAAUGAUCUUCUUCAUCAAUUUUAUCAUCAGAUUCUGCUUCCAAAAUAUAAUUUCCUUUAUGGAUAUUAUCUGAAUCCCCCCAAGAAGGCUUCAUCAGAUAGUUAUCCGGACAACAUAAUUUUUUCUCCAAGCAAACACCACAACAAGCACACUUGGAAGUCACUUCAACAUUUUCACUCACCUUAUCGCCACAACAAUCUUGAACGACUCCUAGUUUCUUCAUCCAUGGGAAAAAAGCAAACUUAUUGGAGAAUUCUGCUUGCGGAGAGGACGAGCAAUCCUCGCACAUAUCUUGCGAUUCAGCUAGUUUUCGAUGAUUUGAGCAAAAACCCAGUUUGGAAAUCUCCAUGGCAUGAGCUUCACACACAUGAGAUCUAUAAGAAUUCUGAAACUUUGCAGGCUCAAAGUAGUGAUCAAGCCUAGAACACCAAAGGCAGGGCCUUUUAAGGCCAAAGUAGUCAGCAAACUUGAUGAUCAAAUAAGAAAACAGAGAAUUUAGAAGGAGAAGAACGAUCAAAACCCAUUCAAGCAUAGCAUAGACUAAAAUAAGGGUAAUCUUGUUGGUUUUUCUGUGCAGCAUGGUUGCAAACUUGUUGGCAGCCAUGGCUGGUUGUUCUGUUUCUUGUUCCUUGCUAUGUACAAAGAAAGAGAGGGAGGAUUAGAGCUUUGAGAAUUUCAAAACAACACAAGAGAAAUCAAAGAAGACAUUAACUGUAUUCAAUAAGAAAAAGAGAGAGAGAUUGAAGAAGAACAGCAAGAGUGACGUUAGAUGAGAAACGUAGAAGCGUUUUCAGUGAGAGAAGGAGCGCGUAGAAGAAUAGAAGAAAUAGAUGGAGAAGUGAUUUUAUUUAUCGGGGUUGAAAAGGCAGCUUGAAUAGGAUUCACAGCCAAAUGAGACUUUAUAUGGUAGAGGAGAAUGCUAAAAC